RNAcentral lists this long non-coding RNA (509 nucleotides) under Mytilus galloprovincialis (Mediterranean mussel). The record is from RNAcentral. Lineage: Eukaryota; Metazoa; Mollusca; Bivalvia; Mytilida; Mytilidae.
GAAAUGUGUACGCAUGUACUUCAUGAUCAUAUAUCAAUGUAUAUACAAAUCAAAAUAAAUUGUAAAAGCUUGUUUUGACAUCAUCAAUAAAUUAAAAAGGUUUACUCAUAUACAUAUUCAAGGUGGCCAGGUGUAUUUACAUCCUUGGUUUAACCCAUACCACUACUAAAGAAUGAAUAGGUCCAUAGGGGGAACGUAGUGGUUAGGGAAGAAAUGAUGAUUUAAUGAUUCACAAAUGAUAGUGACAUUGAGUCAGAGAACACAGUCUUGCAAAAAAACUUUCAUUCUGAAAUAAUGAAAUGUAUUUUGAUGUGGUAUUCAUAUAAUAUUACAAAAUGCUCCUUUUAUUAGGUACAAUCAAAGCCCAAGUGUUAUUAUUGCAUAACUCAUCAAUAUGUUAGAUUUUCAAUUAUGAAUUCGGACAAGUGAGUUAAGAGUUCGGACAAGCUGAUUUUCUUGCCACUUGUCCGAAGGGACAAGUUAGAAAAAAUGUUAAUGUAGAGGCCUGU